GACGAACGCUGGCGGCGUGCCUAAUACAUGCAAGUUGAGCGCUGAAGGUUGGUACUUGUCCCAACUGGCUGAGCAGCGAACGGGUGAGUAACGCGUGGGGAAUCUGCCUUUGAGCGGGGGACAACAUUUGGAAACGAAUGCUAAUACCGCAUAAAAACUUUAAACACAAGUUUUAAGUUUGAAAGAUGCAAUUGCAUCACUCAAAGAUGAUCCCGCGUUGUAUUAGCUAGUUGGUGAGGUAAAGGCUCACCAAGGCGAUGAUACAUAGCCGACCUGAGAGGGUGAUCGGCCACAUUGGGACUGAGACACGGCCCAAACUCCUACGGGAGGCAGCAGUAGGGAAUCUUCGGCAAUGGACGAAAGUCUGACCGAGCAACGCCGCGUGAGUGAAGAAGGGUUUCGGAUCGUAAAACUCUGUUGGUAGAGAAGAACGUUGGUGAGAGUGGAAAGCUCAUCAAGUGACGGUAACUACCCAGAAAGGGACGGCUAACUACGUG
This 497-nucleotide ribosomal RNA is filed under the name uncultured bacterium. RNAcentral describes it as "partial 16S ribosomal RNA". It matches the Rfam family "Bacterial small subunit ribosomal RNA", at positions 28 to 507 of the family's 1533-position model. The record is from RNAcentral.